GCUCCGGUGGUGUAGCCCGGCCAACAUUGGCCGAAAGCAUAACGGCCUCUCGAGCCGUAGACGCGGGUUCAAAUCCCGCCCGGAGCA
Molecule: transfer RNA, 87 nt
Filed under: marine sediment metagenome
Rfam family: tRNA
About the family: Transfer RNA (tRNA) molecules are approximately 80 nucleotides in length. Their secondary structure includes four short double-helical elements and three loops (D, anti-codon, and T loops).
Source: RNAcentral